UAAUUAAAGAUUAAAAUAGCAUGGGCGACUGAGAAUUUUUUUGGAGGUCACAAUUUAAGACCAUAUGGCAAACAAUAAUGCAGGUACUAGGGAUGGAGGUGUGACUAGGGAUGGAGGUGUGACUAGGUACUGGGGAUGGAGGUGUGACUAGGGAUGGAGGUGUGACUAGGUACUGGGGAUGGAGGUGUGACUAGGGAUGGAGGUGUGACUAGGUACUGGGGAUGGAGGUGUGACUAGGGAUGGAGGUGUGACUAGGGAUGGAGGUGUGAGUAGGUACUAGGGAUGGAGGUGUGACUGGGGAUGGAGGUGUGACUAGGUACUGGGGAUGGAGGUGUGACUGGGGAUGGAGGUGUGACUAGGUACUGGGGAUGGAGGUGUGACUACAUACUGGGGAUGGAGGUGUGACUAGGGAUGGAGGUGUGACUAGGUACUAGGGAUGGAGGUGUGACUAGGUACUAGGGAUGGAGGUGUGACUAGGGAUGGAGGUGUGACCAGUUACUAGGGACGUUGAUGUGAGUAGGUAAAAGGGAUGGAGGUGUGACUAUGUACAAGGGAUGGAGGUGUGACUAUGUACAAGGGAUGGAGGUGUGACUAGGAAUGGAGGUGUGACCAGGCACUAGGGAUGGAGGUGUGACCAGGCACUAAGGAUGGAGUUGUGACCAGGUACUAGUGAUGGAGGUUUGACCAGGUACUAGGGAUGGAGGUGUAACGGA
Oncorhynchus tshawytscha (Chinook salmon) is the source of this 713-nucleotide long non-coding RNA. Lineage: Eukaryota; Metazoa; Chordata; Actinopteri; Salmoniformes; Salmonidae. The record is from Ensembl.